ACGGACGAGGGCGACUACCAGAUCAAGCUGCGCAAGAUGCGUGGGUUCCUCGAGGAUGGUGACAAGAUCAAGGUCAACAUCCGCUUCCGUGGCCGCGAAAUGAGCCACCAGGAACUGGGUCGUGAAAUGGCCAACCGGAUCGAGACCGAUCUGGGCGAGGACAUCGUCAUUGAAUCCCGUCCGCGCCUGGAAGGGCGUCAGAUGGUCAUGAUGAUCGCGCCGAAGAAGAAGACCUGAGGCCUGACGGGCCGCCUUCCGGGGCGCCUGGCUGAAUGGUUCAGGGUAAGGGGACGCCGCUGGCGUCCCU
Molecule: unclassified non-coding RNA, 307 nt
Filed under: Stenotrophomonas pavanii
Lineage: Bacteria; Pseudomonadati; Pseudomonadota; Gammaproteobacteria; Lysobacterales; Lysobacteraceae
Description: Long range pseudoknot
Source: RNAcentral